UACGUAGGGCGCAAGCGUUGUCCGGAAUUAUUGGGCGUAAAGAGCUCGUAGGCGGUUUGUCGCGUCUGCUGUGAAAACCUAAGGCUCAACCUUGGGCUUGCAGUGGGUACGGGCAGACUAGAGUGCGGUAGGGGUGACUGGAAUUCCUGGUGUAGCGGUGGAAUGCGCAGAUAUCAGGAGGAACACCGAUGGCGAAGGCAGGUCUGCUGGGCCACUACUGACGCUGAGAAGCGAAAGCAUGGGGAGCGAACAGG
This 254-nucleotide ribosomal RNA is filed under the name uncultured bacterium. RNAcentral's name for it is "partial 16S ribosomal RNA". It matches the Rfam family "Bacterial small subunit ribosomal RNA", at positions 524 to 776 of the family's 1533-position model. The record is from RNAcentral.